AUGUUGAAUGGUGUCAUUCUUAAAAUAGAUUUUGAAAAAGCCUAUGACAAGGUUAAGUGGCCCUUUUUGUUGCGAACUUUGUGCAUGAAGGGGUUUUCACAAAAAUGGUGUCAUUGGGUAGAGAACUUUGUAUCUGGAGGCAGUGUGGCCAUAAAAGUUAAUGAUGACGUUGGCAACUAUUUUCGGACAAGGAAGGGGUUUCUCCAAGGGGACCCCGCUUCUCCUAUUUUGUUUAACAUUGUGGCCGACAUGCUAGCUACCCUUGUUGAGCGGGCUAAGCUGGCCGGUCAAAUUAGUGGUGUUAUUCCACACUUGGUAGAAAAUGGUCUAUCUAUUCUACAAUAUGCGGAUGACACUAUUCUAUUCAUGGAUCAUGAUCUAGAUAAGGCAAGAAAUCUCAAGUUGCUCUUAUGUGCUUUCGAGGAACUUUCUGGUCUCAAAAUUAAUUUUCAUAAGAGUGAACUUUUUUGCUUUGGAGAUCCUGUAGAAUCAGCAGAGUAUGUCGAGAUUUUUGGAUGCCAGCUUGGGCAGUUUCUGAUUCGAUAUUUGGGUAUUCCCAUACACUAUCAGCGCUUAACUAUCACUGAGUGGAAGCAUGUGGAAGAGAGACUUGAGAAACGCUUAGCCAGUUGGAAGGCCAAGCUCUUGUCUUACGGGGGACGAUUGAUCUAG
Molecule: ribosomal RNA, 672 nt
Filed under: Triticum aestivum (bread wheat)
Lineage: Eukaryota; Viridiplantae; Streptophyta; Magnoliopsida; Poales; Poaceae
Description: partial small subunit ribosomal RNA
Source: RNAcentral